CAUUACCUCUUGUACUAUCACUAGACUUUUAAAGUGUAGUUUUAAAAUGGCUUUAAAACCAUGUAGUUUUAGAAUGUAGUUAAAAAAUUUAGCUAACAAUUCCUUUAAAGUUUCCUCAGGAAAUGAGAAAUGUAAAUAUAACUAAAAUAUUCGUCAGGAAAUCUACUUUAUUACAACUAAGUGUUUAUUUUAAACUUUAACUUAGUUCUGCACAGCAUAUUGAUUUAACUUUUGAAGGAAGUAGGAGCACAGUCCAUGACUACUUGUAUCAGUUGAGAUAUUUUUUGAGAUGGUCAAGUCAUGUUGUUGUCUGACAAAGUAUAUCAGAAAGCUUUUAGGCUGAAAAAUGAACAACUCCAUAAAGCUGAACAUUAUUGUCAUGGAAACUUCUGCACACCAACUAAUUGACGUUAUUUUUUCACCCCAUUACAGUAAUUAUUUGUAAUCAUUAUUUUUGUAGCAUGUGUUCGGCACUUAAAGUGUGUAUACUACUGGGAAGAGCUGGAUUAUUCAUCAGGAGAAACUGAGAAAUUGAGUUGAAAAUGCCGAAUCAGGCAGGCAGAUGGAAUUAUCUCCUGUUUUAGGAGCAUUCACUCCUAAAAAUAAAUAAAUAAAUAAAUAUUUUUUUUUUCCUCUAACUUCCUCAUACAUGCAAACAAGGAAGCAAACACUCUCCAAGUUUCACAAGAAAAGAGUAAGUCAAAAAUACCAUAACCACUGAAAGACAAUUCAAAUAUAGAAAGUUUGGUGGACCCAUUCUUCAAAAAUGUGUUCAGCUUCUCUGAGGUCAAGAGGUUCUUCUGAUGUACCAAGACAGACUCCUGAGUUCUGAUCCAGUGUCACUCAGAAGGGUAUGGACAGACAUAGCCCAGAGUUGUGGCAGCCAUUAAUAGAUCAAGCAAGCCCAUGCAGCUGUGUUUUGAUCAGUGGAAAGGUUUCUGGCAUCCAAGAGCUGAAAUCACCUUUUGGGUCAUCACACCUCACUGGAGGUUUCCCUGCUUUAAUGAGCAUCUCAGAAACCGCAGAGAGGACUGGAGAAUGGGGGUUGUUGCACAUUCUUGUAUUUGAAAGCAGCUCCAUAGCAUCUGCAAGAGGAUUCUUGGCACCUGCCUAGUUAAACUGGAUGUCCAAUGUUAUCUCUCCAGGCAAGUAAGAUUCUGGCAAUCACUGUAGUCCUAUUUCACUUGUUCUCAGUCUUUUUGACACAAACACAUUAAUUCCCCCAAGCUUCUUUGGCAGCUGUAAGUUCUCUCCUUUUUUUAAUAUGAUUGAUAAUAUUGAAUAUUUCUUUUAACCUUUUACUGCAUUUGCUGGGCUAGGUGAUAGUUUCUCUAUUCGGGUGUUAAUCUCCAGCAUGCAGUACAAUGUCUUCCAAUUGCCUGCUCAUUAUGGAGCUCAUUUGUAAUAUGUUGCCAUUUAAUUUACAACUGCCUACCAAGCUCUGCCUAGCACUGUCCUACAACAUAUAAUGUCAUCCUUCCAACACUUCCACUGUCAAAGGUCAUAUAAAGCAAACUACUGCUUACUACAGAAACUACUUCUAGUUUAGCACAGAAAGAAUGGCAGCCCUUGGGCAAAAUUUGACUGUGUCGUUUCAUAUGAUGCACUGGAAAGAAAUACAUUCUGGAAAAGGUGCCAAUAAUGAAGGUUCCCUGAUUCAGUGCAGGAAAUGACCUGAAAUGUACAGGCAAAAAAAUGCCAUCAUUGUCUUUACUUCCAAUUUCUCAGGAAAAGAAAAGGUUGUUUGAGGAGACACAAAUAUAUAAAAACAAAAAGACCUCCCAGGCUGACUUGAAAUAUGUUCAAACUACACAUCCACUCCCUGCUCCCUAGAACCCAGUAAAUAUUUCUUUGGCCCCACAAAAUAUUUUAGUUUGAACCCAGCAAACCUCAGAUUGACCUUGGAAAUAAGAUUCCUCGUUUUCAAAGUAAAUGUCUCAGCCACACCACUGGAGGAGUUGCACUUUUCUGACUGAAACAUAUAAAACUUGUCUCUUUUGGCAAAUGGGGUAGAUUAUACUGUGGGGAACUGGUUGUUUUCCCAAUUAACUGACCAUAGGCGCUCUCAAACUCCUUUCCUCAACUUUUGUAACCUAGUACAAUGCUGGUGGCAAGGUUAAAACAUCUUUUUUAGGCCAUUAGGGGCAGAGUUAAGCCAGUGUAAAGCACUAGAGUCUGUCUCAAUGGAGAUACACUGACCUAUCCUGCUGAGCAUCUGGUGCAUGUCUCUACAGACAUUUUGUUCUCUCUUCUCCUCAGGUUGUAUUGGAUGCUUUAACAGCAUUUGAUCCUGUAGUGUCCUUUUAGCUUACCUUGAAUCCCCUUUGAGAUUUUAGACUACAUAUGUCUGGAUUUGAUUAGCUUUGUCAGUUUGUUUUCUUCUGAUGUUUUUCUCCUCUGCCAGCUGUGUUAACUCUUCCCUCACCCAAGACAAGAUCUCACACCCUAAUCUAAUAUAAUGAAAAUACGUUUUUGAAAUAGUCUUUGACAUCAUUUUCUGAUGAUGUCCAACUCAUAUUCAGAUACAAAUUCUGGGAUCUGGUUAUCUGUUCUCCGUAGCAAAGUGUAUGCACAUGUUCCACAUAGAAUGUAAGGACAAGAAAGGUCUCAAAUUCCCCUUCUAAUGACUGGUUGAUGUCUAUCAACUGAUGCUGAAAAUCAUUGUGACCGCAGCCUUCCUUUUAAUAUCAUAGCUGCUUCCAGCAUGUCAGACAUAACUGCCUUUUAUACAAGUCUUAUUUAAACCAGACAAAAACAAUUAAGAUGGUUGUUUUGAUUGGCAUCUACCAUAUUAAAUGAAUCAAACUGCUGUAAUUCUAACAAAUAUAUAUAUAUAUAUAUAUAUAUCAGUGUUGGGUAUUAAAUAAAAUAAGGUUAUGCUUUACCUCAAUGAGCAUUUCAGGUUUUGCUUCAGCCUGAGUUUCUCGCUUGAGGCCAACCAGAAGUGUUGAAAUGCUGUCAGCUAGGGUUUCACAGAAGCUUCUGGUCCAGGGCGCCAAUGCAGACAAUCCAACUGCCCAAGAUGAGGUCCUUGCACCCUCUCCAUCUCCUGCUGAAGCUGUUGAAUCUUGUGUGUGCUCAGGGUUUCACAAGGCUGCACUAUAUCCACGUGGUGCAGAUUUUAAGAGCUCCAUGGUGCUCAGAUAAUAUUCAUAUCUCUGAAGAGGACAAUGCUGUCCAAAUAGAAUGAACCUUUGAACUUCAAUAGGUUUUUGGUAUGACCUUAAGCCUCAGAUUUAUAAAAACAAAACAGAACACCUUAAGCCUCAGAUUUAUGAAAUCAAAACAGGACAAAAACCACUGCUUGCUUGCUUUCAUUCUAUUUUCUGAUUUUGCACUAAACUGUCAGCAAAGCAGGCCUUUUACCUAUAAACAGAUGGUACAAAAUUCUGCAGGAUUUUCCCACGUUUGAUGAACACACACAUCAAGUCUAUUUACAUGAGCAUGGAAAAUAUUAAAAUGACUACCAGGUCUGUACAGCAUAAGACACCUGGAGUACAUUGCUGCCAGCAAGCUUCCAAGGCGGGGAGAUUCUGGCACACGGUUACAGUUCUGGGGACUGGGCCAUUUUUGACUUGGGUUAUUGCAUCUUUUUACACCUGAAGACAUGUUCACCUCUGACCCAGAAACAUCUGCAAUGUCAAACUAUAAAAAGGGGAAUUGAAUUGUAGCCUUUUUUUGCCUUACUGUUAUUUUUAUUUUCUAUUGAAAGGAGUUUUAAAAGGCCUAUGAAAUGUAAAAUUGCUUUCUUGCCAUAGUUGCAAAACUCAUUUCACCUUUUUAUCUGAGAUGUGCUUGUAGCAAAUUUCCAGAGUUAAAAAAUGAAUACAAUAACCCACUUUGAGUAAGGAUCAUGGUCCAAAGCACUGAGCACAGCACAGUCUGCAUCUCUCAAGGCUUGGGGCAGAGAGGGGAACUGCCCCAGUAGCCUGUGUUAUCCUCACUCCCAUCAUUCACCCAGACACCUCACCACUUGAUGUUACCCACAACGUUGUUGCAUAUUCCAUCUUUCCUUCCUAAAGUAAUGUUGUAGACUGAUGAGGGAUAUUUUUAUAUAUAUUAUUAUUCACCAAGUCCUAACUUCUUUUCCUUCUUUGCAGGGAUAAUUUACAAAUAUUUGGUCCAUUACUGCUGCUCUUACGUAGCCCAUCAUCAGAAUACCAGCUGUACUGGUGACUACACAAGUGACUGUAGUUUCUUAUAGGAAAUAUUGGUAUACCAUAAUAUUUAUUCGAGUCUUUCUUUCACCUUUCUUGUUAUGAUUUGCUCUUGUGAUUUAUAUUCAUACAGAUAUUUAUUUAUUUAUUUUUACUCUGGGACCCUUCUGUGUGUCAGUUUGUGCUAGUGUAGAAUGAAUUUACAUGGUUUGUAGUAGAAUGUGAAUAUCUUUGGUUGAAUAUCACUAGAGAAAUCCCCAGAAUUAUUAUUUUGACAUUUAGUUAUGGUAUAAUCUAGCCAAUUUUUCGUGUCAUUUAGCACAAGAAGUAUAUAGGGCAAAGCAGCGCAGUAUGUUGAUAGAUGGUGUAUUGCUGUGUUUGAGUUUGCCAAAAUUAACACAUUGCCCAUUGGAAAAAAAAAACUUUGGAAAACUUUCUCUUUUCUGAGUACAGGCAUUUUAUGUUAGAGCCUUAGAGCUGGUUCUGUCUCUCCUAAGUUAUAAACCCUUAUGGAUGUACCAUAAAGAUGUCCACCUAAUGCAGAGAAAAGCAGAUUAAUUGAUCACAGUAAUAUAUUCUUAUCCACUGAGUAAGAGCAUUACACACAUUGUUUCUUGUUUUGUUUCUGGCUUGUAAAUCUUCAUUGUAGAAUACAAAUGAAAAUGACCCAAAUAUGUAUUAUUUAUGAAUAGGACUCUCAGAUAUUAUGCUUUAGAUUGAUUGUGUUAGACAGGAUAUAACAGAAGCACAAUAAGUCAAUGAAAAAUAAAAAGCGGCAAAAAUGUUUCAUGCUAAAAAUGUAGUUCUAGUGACACCUCUUAUAUAAAGGACAUUUCCAACACAUUGACAUUUAUAUUUAUCAUGGCUGUGUGUGUGAUUUACAGUUGUCUGAGGUACUGAAUAUCAGGAAUAUCCAUGCACAUACACACCCUUUUGAAUGAUGGUAAGUCAUAGACUGCUGCAUUGCCCCUUAUACAACAAGCUUUUCCUCCCCUUUUUAUUUUUCUUCUCUAGCUUCAGGGAGGCAAAGGAAGCAGUAGAUCAAUAGGGUGUCUUGACUGAAGUUGCCUGCAGCACUUCCAUUUCUCAGACUGGACACUGAUGCUAACUAUCAAUAGCAAUAAGAGGCUGUCUCAGACAGAAUUAAGGCUCCUUCUUCUGCAUGGCUGUCUGGUGCUUACUGAUAAACAUCUUGUGCGCAGGAUUGCAACAAAUAAACCAUUUCAAGUGUGCAAACUAGCCACUGUCAUUCUCCCUAUUGAUACUUGCUCUAGGGUGAAGUGACUAAUAGUUAUUUUCAUACAGCUGAUAGAUACACAGCAGAUAGGCAUUCAGAUGGAUAAUAGUGCAAAGGCUUAAUGCUAUAGAGUGUAGAAAGAUCAUUGACGAAAUUCUCUGUGCUCCCGUAGAGAGCCUGAGACAACAAAAGACAAAAAUAGUGACUUAUGUUUAAACUACUUAAGAGAAGCUAAAGAUGAAUUUAACUGUUUAUUAACAUCCAAUUUUUAGAUAGUGUUAAAUCCUGCCAAGCUAUUUUGUUCAGAAGUUAUUCAUUUUUUCCACUUCACUGGAUUUGCAAGUUUAGUCUGGAAAUAAAAGCUAACGGGGUUGUGUGCAGCUAUGAUAGAGAUGGGGAGGUGCUAGGCAGCACUGUGGUCACUUGUCAUUUGACCUGAGCUAUGCACCACACCUGAGGUUGCUAAUUUUGGAAGAACUGAGUCUCUUUAGCCUCCCUUCCUGGAAAAAAGAAAAAAAAAAAAAAAUCAAUUUCUCAACUGAUCUUUAGUUCUGUAGUGCAUUCCUUGUUUUCAGCCUGAAUAAGGAUGAAAAACCAGGUUCUCACCCACCCACAUGAAAUCACCAUUAAAAUACCUUGGCCCAGCUCUUCUUGGUGGUAAGUCCAUUAUAACUGUGCUUAAGCCAGAUAUUCACUAGAGUUGCACUAAUUUACAUCAAAUGAAGAGCUCACAUACUAAUCCGGGUUUAUUUUUCUUUUAAUUUUGCUUUAACUGACUGGGGUGGGGGAAGUGGUUCAGAUGCUCUGCUGGAAAAUCAACAGAGCCUUAUUUCAUAUCCUCCCUCUGUGGAGCUCUAACCAUUUACAGGAGCAAACAAUUUGGCUCUGAGACAUCUCCAGCUUUAUAUGAAGUGGUGCUUUUCAGAUUAGGAGGCUGGUUUUCUAAGGGAAAGUUCAGUGAACCCUUUUGAGUUUCAGACUAUCCCAAAGAAAAUGAUUAAAUAACGUUUCUUUCUUUCAAAUAAUUCUUAUGUUAAAUCUAACAAAGGCUGAUGGGUUUUAUAGGAUGAGAUUAUUCUGAAGAUAGUUCUGAUGUUGCUGAAUUCUUAAAUUAAGAUGAUUGAGGAGAAAAUAAACCAGGGCUUCCAAGAUUUUAUGGGAAAGGACACCAAUCAUGAAUUGAGGAGAAAAAAACCCUACUAAAAAUAUUUGCAUAAAAUGAUUCCUGAAUAUAUGUCUAUGAAUACAUAUAUUGGCUUUGAAAGAAGUGAAAUUAAAUGUUACCAGGAACAUAAUAUAGUGGGGGGAGCACAAUUUGUGUAUUUGUGUAUCACUUACUAAUAGACAUUUUCACUUUUGUCUCUGCACCGUAUGCUGCAGUUGGACUUGCCCACCACACACGAGCGGUGUGGGGGUGGAAUAGUUAAUAUGUGUACACUGCUCAGAGUCACUGCUGUUAUUAAUUGUCCUCCAGUAUAGAACACGUACAUUUUACACUAAUACGCUGAUUAGUGAGACAGAGCGUGCAGUUUCUAGCGAGGGAAGCUGGAAUUUCAGAAAUAGCUUGGCUCUUCACUUUGAUUACUUUCUGGCUAGAGAGUUGGAGUCAAACUAAUUCAUUUUGUAAACAUUACUGGUCAUUCAUGUACAGUGUGUUGCAUGAAUCAGUGUAGGACAGUCAGAUUGGUACAAGUUCAAAAGUCCAGAUGAAAAUUACUGUUUCACUGUACACAGCAUAAUCACUGUACAAAGUAAGAAGGAUCGUAUCUGUACUCUUUACUCAGGCAAAAUUCCCACCCCCCAAAAUUGGAAGAGUUUCCUUAAGAAAGGUGAAAAGACAAGGGUCUGAAAUGUUUGCUGAUGAGCAAUCCAUCCCCUGCACCCCAACAGGCAGCUUUCAACAAAUAUUUAUAGAGCUCAGGGAUACUGCUAUAGCCUCAACAUUUCAGCACAAAUAUUAAGCCACAACCUCAGCUAGUCUAAAUUGACGUAGUCCUAUUGGCUUCAGUGGCAUUAGAGUGAUUUACAAUAGCUGAGGUUCUCACUCCUUUUAUUUUUAACUCAGUGUCUCUGGCAGAGUAUGCUCUGCAUACUUCUUUCAGAUGAGGAGCAGAUUAGUUUUAAAGUAAAAAUUAAAGAAAAAAAAAAAAAAUAGCUCUUCAUCCAUCCUACUGGGCAAAAUUUCUGCCCAGUUUUGAGAGGGGCUCAGCUUAAAGGAAAAUGUGUUAGAAGGCUGAGUGUGAGUUUU
This is a long non-coding RNA of Oxyura jamaicensis (ruddy duck), 7642 nucleotides long. RefSeq lists it as uncharacterized. The transcript is spliced from 3 exons. The record is from RefSeq and is a predicted model, not a curated record. Lineage: Eukaryota; Metazoa; Chordata; Aves; Anseriformes; Anatidae.